Molecule: transfer RNA, 72 nt
Filed under: Spathaspora arborariae UFMG-19.1A
Lineage: Eukaryota; Fungi; Ascomycota; Pichiomycetes; Serinales; Debaryomycetaceae
Description: tRNA-Asp (GTC) (tRNA-Asp-GTC-3-1)
Rfam family: tRNA
About the family: Transfer RNA (tRNA) molecules are approximately 80 nucleotides in length. Their secondary structure includes four short double-helical elements and three loops (D, anti-codon, and T loops). Further hydrogen bonds mediate the characteristic L-shaped molecular structure. tRNAs have two regions of fundamental functional importance: the anti-codon, which is responsible for specific mRNA codon recognition, and the 3' end, to which the tRNAs corresponding amino acid is attached (by aminoacyl-tRNA synthetases). tRNAs cope with the degeneracy of the genetic code in two manners: having more than one tRNA (with a specific anti-codon) for a particular amino acid; and 'wobble' base-pairing, i.e. permitting non-standard base-pairing at the 3rd anti-codon position.
Source: RNAcentral
GCACAGGUAGCUUAAUGGUAAAGCCCUCCAAUGUCACUGUAGUAGAUGUCGGUUCAAGUCCGAUGCUGUGCG